Long non-coding RNA from Mastomys coucha (southern multimammate mouse), 401 nucleotides. RefSeq lists it as uncharacterized. NCBI's taxonomy places the organism in Eukaryota, Metazoa, Chordata, Mammalia, Rodentia, Muridae. The record is from RefSeq and is a predicted model, not a curated record. The transcript is spliced from 3 exons.
UUCCGCUUCCUCCACGGCGUCCCGGAGGAAGUCCUCAGUGCGCAGGUCCCCUGGCCGCUGCCAGAACGCUCCGAGUCGCCCAGCACUGCCCCGUGCCCGGUGACAGUUAAGCCUGGCCUAAACAUAAACCAGAGGACAGAACAAGUGGCCGCUGAUGGUGGGUAUUAAUGAACGUGUUGUAGUUUUGAAGGAUGCCUAUGAUCAGGAAUACAAGUGACAGGCAAUACUGCUGUGGAUGUGCAGAAAGGGAACCACUUCUAUACUGCUGGUGGGGUAUAAACUAGGACAACCACUGUGAAAUAAUCUGGGUGCUUCCCAAAAAACUAUAAAUAGAACUACCAAAAUGUAAUCCAACAAUACCACUCAUGGGGAAAUAAAGAACUUUAAUUUUACUUCAGAGA